UGGGGAAUAUUGGACAAUGGGCGAAAGCCUGAUCCAGCCAUGCCGCGUGUGUGAAGAAGGUCUUCGGAUUGUAAAGCACUUUAAGUUGGGAGGAAGGGCAGUAAGCGAAUACCUUGCUGUUUUGACGUUACCGACAGAAUAAGCACCGGCUAACUCUGUGCCAGCAGCCGCGGUAAUACAGAGGGUGCAAGCGUUAAUCGGAAUUACUGGGCGUAAAGUGCGCGUAGGUGGUUCGUUAAGUUGAAUGUGAAAGCCCCGGGCUCAACCUGGGAACUGCAUCCAAAACUGGCGAGCUAGAGUAGGGCAGAGGGUGGUGGAAUUUCCUGUGUAGCGGUGAAAUGCGUAGAUAUAGGAAGGAACACCAGUGGCGAAGGCGACCACCUGGGCUCAUACUGACACUGAGGUGCGAAAGCGUGGGGAGCAAACAGG
Molecule: ribosomal RNA, 429 nt
Filed under: Pseudomonadota bacterium
Lineage: Bacteria; Pseudomonadati; Pseudomonadota
Description: Proteobacteria bacterium partial 16S ribosomal RNA
Rfam family: Bacterial small subunit ribosomal RNA
Source: RNAcentral